CCGGUAGCGUUACCCCGGAGUGCAAAUYUGGAGACGCACCCCCAAAGGUGCCGGGGCUUCUCCCGUUUUAAGAGAGACGGGAGAAGG
This 87-nucleotide transfer RNA is filed under the name Cyrtodactylus intermedius. RNAcentral describes it as "tRNA-Cys". The record is from RNAcentral. Lineage: Eukaryota; Metazoa; Chordata; Lepidosauria; Squamata; Gekkonidae.